RNAcentral lists this ribosomal RNA (451 nucleotides) under uncultured Desulfobulbus sp. Its description in RNAcentral is "bacterial SSU rRNA". It matches the Rfam family "Bacterial small subunit ribosomal RNA", at positions 937 to 1382 of the family's 1533-position model. Lineage: Bacteria; Pseudomonadati; Thermodesulfobacteriota; Desulfobulbia; Desulfobulbales; Desulfobulbaceae. The record is from RNAcentral.
GUAUGUGGUUAAUUCGAUGCAACGCGAAGAACCUUACCUGGCCUUGACAUCCCGGAGACCCUUAGGAAACUAGGGGGUGCUUCCAUCUGGAAGAAUCUGGAGACAGGUGCUGCAUGGCUGUCGUCAGCUCGUGUCGUGAGAUGUUGGGUUAAGUCCCGCAACGAGCGCAGCCCUUGCCUUUAGUUGCCAGCAGUUCGGCUGGGCACUCUAAAGGGACUGCCGGUGUUAAACCGGAGGAAGGUGGGGGAUGACGUCAAGUCCUCAUGGCCUUUAUGACCAGGGCUACACACGUACUACAAUGGCCGAUACAAAGGGCAGCGACACUGCGAGGUGAAGCCAAUCCCGUAAAAUCGGUCUCAGUCCGGAUUGGAGUCUGCAACUCGACUCCAUGAAGUUGGAAUCGCUAGUAAUCGUGGAUCAGCAUGCCACGGUGAAUACGUUCCCGGGCCUU